Molecule: ribosomal RNA, 283 nt
Filed under: uncultured bacterium
Lineage: Bacteria
Description: partial 16S ribosomal RNA
Rfam family: Bacterial small subunit ribosomal RNA
Source: RNAcentral
AAUGCCUACGGGAGGCAGCAGUGGGGAAUAUUGCACAAUGGGGGAAACCCUGAUGCAGCGACGCCGCGUGAAGGAAGAAGUAUUUCGGUAUGUAAACUUCUAUCAGCAGGGAAGAAAAUGACGGUACCUAACUAAGAAGCCCCGGCUAACUACGUGCCAGCAGCCGCGGUAAUACGUAGGGGGCAAGCGUUAUCCGGAUUUACUGGGUGUAAAGGGAGCGUAGGCGGCGAUGCGAGUCAGAAGUGAAAGCACGGGGCUCAACUACGGGACUGCUUUGGAAACU